UACGCAGGGGGCUAGCGUUGUUCGGAAUUACUGGGCGUAAAGCGCGCGCAGGCGGUCUUCCAAGUCAGUGGUGAAAGCCCGGAGCUCAACUCCGGAACUGCCAUUGAAACUGUUAGACUUGAGGAUGAGAGAGGUGAGUGGAAUUCCCAGUGUAGAGGUGAAAUUCGUAGAUAUUGGGAAGAACACCGGUGGCGAAGGCGGCUCACUGGCUCAUUACUGACGCUCAGGCGCGAUAGCGUGGGGAUCAAACAGG
RNAcentral lists this ribosomal RNA (253 nucleotides) under uncultured bacterium. RNAcentral's name for it is "partial 16S ribosomal RNA". It matches the Rfam family "Bacterial small subunit ribosomal RNA", at positions 524 to 776 of the family's 1533-position model. The record is from RNAcentral.